Long non-coding RNA from Populus trichocarpa (black cottonwood), 641 nucleotides. RefSeq lists it as uncharacterized. The record is from RefSeq and is a predicted model, not a curated record. The transcript is spliced from 2 exons. NCBI's taxonomy places the organism in Eukaryota, Viridiplantae, Streptophyta, Magnoliopsida, Malpighiales, Salicaceae.
GCCAAACACGCGCUCUUGCAGGCAAUCACAGUCCCAUCUGAACCUCUCACUGCUAAACUAGGAUCACAAGCAGCAUUCACGUUAGCUGCACAGCUUGUAGAAGGGCAGCCAGUAGAACCUCCUUGCGGGGUUACCGAAAUUGGGAUGUUAAAGCCAUCAACAAGGCUUAUAUCGUAAUAAUCUUUCCCACCAUCACCGCUUAGAGUAAAUUCUGCCAAGGAUGCUGGUGGGAUCGCACCGGCUCCAUUGCAUUCUAUGACACCAGAGGCACAGUCAGCAGUAGCACAAACAAACUUUCCCGAGGCAUCUGUAGAGCAUUGCGUUCUGGCCCACAAGCGGCCAGACCAAUUGACAGGGACACUCAGCGAAGAUGAAGCACCCGUUGCCAAUGUGAAGCCAGUUGAAGAUAAAGACGGACCGCCAGCAGCCGUUAGAGUUCCUGGCCAGACUGUGUAUGGACAGUUGUUUUUGAAGUCGAAAGUCACAGAUUGAGCUCCUGCAUGCGUGCAAGAUUUAUUUUUGUUGAUAUCAAUAAUUAAAUCUUGGUCGAUUCAAAGAUAACAUAAUUCAAUAUUUAAAAUCUUGUAUUAAUUCAGUUAUUUUUCUUUUAAAAAUAUAACAUAACCCAGGUUUUUUUUUAA